This 301-nucleotide ribosomal RNA is filed under the name uncultured bacterium. RNAcentral's name for it is "partial 16S ribosomal RNA". It matches the Rfam family "Bacterial small subunit ribosomal RNA", at positions 509 to 807 of the family's 1533-position model. The record is from RNAcentral.
CAGUCGCCACGGGAAUACGGAGGGUGCAAGCGUUAUCCGGAUUUAUUGGGUUUAAAGGGUCCGUAGGCGGAUCUGUAAGUCAGUGGUGAAAUCUCACAGCUUAACUGUGAAACUGCCAUUGAUACUGCAGGUCUUGAGUAAAUUUGAAGUGGCUGGAAUAAGUAGUGUAGCGGUGAAAUGCAUAGAUAUUACUUAGAACACCAAUUGCGAAGGCAGGUCACUAAGAUUUAACUGACGCUGAUGGACGAAAGCGUGGGGAGCGAACAGGAUUAGAUACCCCUGUAGUCCCUGUCUCUUAUAC